RNAcentral lists this long non-coding RNA (1467 nucleotides) under Anas platyrhynchos platyrhynchos (common mallard). RNAcentral describes it as "lncRNA (ENSAPLG00000022086.1)". Lineage: Eukaryota; Metazoa; Chordata; Aves; Anseriformes; Anatidae. The record is from RNAcentral.
CACGCGGCAGCUGCUGCUAUUUUGGGGGCCCCACGUGCUGCCCCCGCCCCUAUUUUUAGCCCUGGGCCCCCCCCCGGUGUCCCUUGGGUGCCCCCCCCCCGGUGUCCCCCGGGGGCCCCCCCCCCCCCCCCCCGGCACCCCCCUUGGGGCCCCCCCCCCCCCCCCCCCCCCGAUGUCCCCCCCCCCCCAAGGGGUGACUGGGGGGGGGGAGCACCCAUGGGACCCUCAGCAUGGGGGGGGCACCCAUGGGACCCACGGCACCCAUGGCACCCAUGGAACAAGGUGGGGCACCCACGGAACUCCCGGCACCAGGGGGCACCCAUGGGACCCACGGCACUGGGGGGGGCACCCAUGGGACCCAUGGGACCGAGUGGGGCACCCAUGGGACCCCCAGCACCCAUGGGACCCACAGCACCCCAAAGGACCCCAAACAGCACCCACAACACUGGGGGGGCACCCACAGCACCCAUGGGACCCACGGCACGAGGUGGGGCACCCAUGGGACCCACAGCACCCAUGGGACCCAUGGCAGCAGGGGGGCACCCUUGGGACCCACGGCACCCAUGGGACCCAUGGAAUAAGGUGGGGCACCCAUGGGACCCAUGGCACUGGGGGGGACACCCACGGGACCCACAGCACUGUGGGGGCACCCAUGGGACCCACGGCACGAGGUGGGGCACCCACAGCAGCACCCACGGGACCCACGGCACCCACAGCAGCACCACGUGUGCUGCAGGACCCACAGCACCCACGGCACCGGGCGGGGCGCCCACGGCACCCAUGGGACCCACGGCACCGGGUGGGGCACCCAUGGGAUCCACAGGACCGGCGGCACCGGGUGGGGCACCCACGGCACCCACGGGACGGACGGCUCGAGGUGGGGCACCCACGGCACCCCAAACAGCACCCACGGCACCGGGUGGGGCACCCCCAGCACCCACGGGACCCACGGCACCGGGUGGGGCACCCACAGGACCCACAGCACCCAUAGCAGUGCCGGGUGGGCUGUGGGACCCACGGCACCCAUGGGACCAAGGGGGGCACCCAUGGGACCCACGGCACCGGGUGGGGCACCCACGGCACCCCCAGCACCUGGUGGGGCACCCAUGGGACCCACGGCACUGGGGGGGCACCCAUGGGACCCACAGGACCGACGGCACUGGGUGGGGCACCCACAGCACCCAAGGGACCCACGACACCCCACGGGACACCAAACAGCACCCACAGCACCCCCAGCACCCAUGGGACCCCCAGCACGAGGUGGGGCACCCACAACACCAGGGGGGGAGCACCCCCAGCACCCAUGGGACCCACAGCACCCAUGGGACUCACGGCACCCCCACAGGACCCCGAACAGCACCCACGGCACCGGGUGGGGCACCCACAGCACCCACGGCACCCACGAGACGCACGGCACGAGGUGGGGCACCCAUGGGAGCCAUAGAACAAGGUGGGGCACCCACAGGA